GAAUAUUGGCCAAUGGGUGAGAGCCUGAUCCAGCCAUCCCGCGUGCAGGAAGAAUGCCUUCUGGGUUGACAACUGCUUUUAUACAGGCAUAAACCACUUUCCGUGUAAGGUGCUGCAGGUACUGUAUUAAUAAGCAUCGGCUAACUCAGUUCCAGCAGCCGCGGUAAUACGGAGGAUCCGUGCUUUAUCCGGAUUUAUUGGGUUUAAAGGGUGCGCAGGCGGAAUAUUAAGUCGGCGGUGAAAGUUUGCAGCUUAACUGUAAAAUUGCCGUUGAUACUGGUAUUCUUGAGUGUAUAUGAAGUAGGCGUAAUUUGUAGUGUAGCGGUGAAAUGCAUAGAUAUUACAAGGAACUCCGAUUGCGAAGGCAGCUUACUAAAAUACAACUGACGCUUAGGAACGAAGGCGUGGGGAUCAAACA
Molecule: ribosomal RNA, 418 nt
Filed under: uncultured bacterium
Lineage: Bacteria
Description: partial 16S ribosomal RNA
Rfam family: Bacterial small subunit ribosomal RNA
Source: RNAcentral